Molecule: RNA transcript, 5392 nt
Organism: Balaenoptera musculus (blue whale)
Lineage: Eukaryota; Metazoa; Chordata; Mammalia; Artiodactyla; Balaenopteridae
Gene: ZNF576
Gene name: zinc finger protein 576
Exons: 3
Source: RefSeq, a predicted model, not a curated record
ACUCCCAUUAUUUUGAGGACCGGGUUGGCGCGACUGAAUCACUGCAGUCGUUUGGCAACCCGAGAUCUGGGCUUCGAAAGGCUUAUCAGGCGAAAGGCCGUGGAAACCACCGGGACUUUGAGACUCGGUGGGCCCUACCCCGCUUCCCUUCGGGUGACGGCGCUGUGACGAGCAACUGACAGGCGCAACGAAAGGCAGCCCUCUGCUGUCUGGAGAAAAGCAGAGGCCUGAGCUACCGGCCUCGGGAGGGAGCCGAGGGCAGUGCUUGGGGCAGCGGGUCACAGCGGCUGAAAGCGCGCGUGGGAAGCGGGGGCUCUAGGUGCAAUAAGAGUUUCGGGAUGUCAGAGAAAGAUGUCUCCCGGAAGGAGGCAGGCUAAAGCGUGGGUACCACUACCUGCCUCAAGACAGGUGGGAGAGAAGGGGAUGAGGCUGGUGUCAAAGAUCAAGGGUCCCGCGCUCUGAGUUCAGGGAGUUAGUUUGAUGUAGGAGGCAUAGGUCAGAGGUCUCACGCAAGUGAGAAGGCUCUAAGGGGAGUCACAAACCCGGGGAGUUGACUCUUCUGGGAGGAUUGAAUCUUCUCUAGCGAGCUGCUCUAUCAGGUUAGAAUUCAAGGAGAUGUUAUCUCGUGGGGGGUCGGCCAAAGGCUGGCAAAGCCAAGCCUGUCAAAGGUCAUAGGAUUGGCGGGCCCUCUAAGACUCGCUGUAGAUAAGCGACUUCACUUGAUUUACUGUUCUGUCAUGCGUGCUCCUCUCUUGACCAGAGGGGUCUCAGUCACCAUGGAGGACCGGCACCCCAAAGAGGCCAUGGAGCAGCAGGAUUCGUCCAAGGAGAGACGUCCCCAAAGUCCGGGAGGUGACAUCUAUGAAAACGCCGUUUCCACUUGCCUCGGAAGUGGUAGAACCAGGAGUCAGUUCCAGGCAGUCUGGCUCCAGAGGCUGUGCUCUUGUCACACGGCUCUGUAGGAAGGGCAGACCCCCUGGUUCCGGUCCUGACUCCGCCGUUUCAUUUCCUAGCUUCAUGACUGUCGGCAAGUUACCUAACCUUUCUGAGCCUCGGUCUGCUCAUCCAUAACACAGGUCCAGCCACUUGGGGGCCCUGCAGUGCACCCGCUGCCUCAUCACCUUCGCAGACUCCAAGUUCCAGGAGCGUCACAUGAAGCGGGAGCACCCAGCGGACUUCGUGGCCCAGAAGCUGCAGGGGGUCCUCUUCAUCUGCUUCACGUGCGCCCGCUCCUUCCCCUCCUCCAAGGCCCUGAUCACCCACCAGCGCAGCCACGGUCCAGCGGCCAGGCCCUCCCAGCCGGCUGUGCCCACCACCACCCCACCCACCUUCCCCUGUCCUGACUGUGGCAAGACCUUUGGGCAGGCCGCUUCUCUGAGGCGGCAUCGCCAGGCGCACGAGGCCCACCCCCUUCCUGGCCCCUUCGCCUGCACUGAGUGCGGGCAGGACUUUGCCCAGGAAGCAGGGCUGCAUCAGCACUACAUCCGGCAUGCCCGGGGGGAGCUCUGAGUGUUGGUCCAGCCCUCCCUAGGGCAGUGGAAGCUCUGUGGCUGGUGGGACCCCCGUCUGAUAUGGGAUGGGAGCCUUGGAGGGAUUUACUUUCCUCCCUAGAAAGGCAAAGGACUCCUGAUCAAUAGGACCCAGAAGAUGCUCAUUUAGAGCUUCCGUCUUUGGAAGACACAAAAGCCUUCAGGGAAACAGUAAAAUCAAACAAUAGUGAGAUCUUUUGUUUAAAAAAAUGAAAUUAACAAGAAAGAGGGAAAUUUGUUAUUUGUAUCUUCCUCGUUCCCAAUUAAAUAGUUUGAAAUCACAACUAGCUGCAGAUUGUGUUAUCACCAUUAAUUCUUCCCAGAUGGAUGCGAUGGGGCUGCAAGAGCCAAGUGCCUGGAUUUGGGCCUGAAUGGGGGAGGGAAAGUGAGGUGUCGCCUGCCUGUAAUGCCACCGAACGGGUCCCACACGUGGAGCAACUUGAGCCUUUGGGGAUGGGACAGCAAAGUCGGAGGCUGUACUGAGUCAUGUGAGGGUUGCAAUCUGGGCCCUUGUCUCUUCCCACUCCCUGCCAGCCUUUCCCACUCAAGGAGGGGCCAUGGCAUUGGAUGGCUCUGCCCUCCUCCUCCCCAGAUAAUUUAUUGUUCAUUUAAAUAAUUUUAUGUACCAUUCUGGUCAUAGAAUAUUUUUUGUAUGUGUAGGUGAGGUGGCAUGAAUAAACUAACAGAAAUAGUAUCUAAAAACAAAAGGUCCACAAUAAAAUGUCUAAACAAGGAACUCUGGCUUUUGAGCAGGAAUUCCCAGAGAACAUAAGGGCAUGGGGAGUGGGGAGCUCAGGGCAGACCUGGCCUGGCCCUGUGGGCAAACUGGUUUGGAGUCAAACAGAGAUACCUUCUGUUUCCUGUUGUAUUUGGCCAACACAGGGAGAUAUUCCAUUAAGAUCCUAUUUUCAGCUCUUGAAAGGCCCAACCCUGGGCUGAGUUCCACUGGACCAGUUUUACUCCCUUGCAUUACCUGCCCUGCCCCUAGAGACAAUGGUCGAUGCCCUGCAUACAAUAAUCACAGCACUGCAUACAAUAAUCACAGACUGCAUUUGAAUUGAGGGAUAUUUUGAAAGCCCACAGGUGAGAUGGAUAUGGUAGAGACCGAGCUAUCUCCCACUUCUAAGCUAGGCACACGGUGGCUACAAAGACUGCCUUUCCCAGAUUUCCUUGCAGCCUGAUGUGGCCACGUGACUGAGUUCUGACUAAAUUCCUGGGUAGAGUCCUCAAGCUUCAGAAAGGAACCUGCCUUUCCUCCACCUUCUCGCCUGGAAUGUGGACAUGGUAUCCAGCCAUCUUGGACCAUGAGAGCGACAACAGGAUGGCAGAGCAAGAAGACAGCAGGAGGCUGGGUCUGCUAUCACUACUGCUCCCCCCACCCUUCCAGUCUCUCUACUACAGACCACCCCCUGUGUACAUGUAAGUCAGCUUACAUCACUCCUCAUUCAAAACCCUCCAACGGCAUCCCAUAAGUAACAUCCAAAGGCCUUACCCAGGCCCACAAAACCCAACAGUGAUUAGGUCCCAGCCCAUUAAGCAAUCUCAACUCCCUCCCGGUUCUGUCUUUUUCACUACACUCUAGCCACACAUGCCAGGCUGGCAUCUGCCUCAGAGCCUUUGCACUUGCUGUUCCCUCUUACCCAGAACUUUGCAAGGCUGCCUCCUCAUUAUUCAGGUCUCAAUACCUGCCACUUCAGAGAGGUCCUCCUUGGCUAAAAUAGCACCUCCAACCCUUAGCCUGAUUUAGUUUCUUCCCAGCACUCUUCAACACUUGGAAUUAUCACACCUGUGUUUCUGUCAUCAUCCGUGUCCUUCCUCUAGAAUCCAAGCUUCUGAGGGCAAGUGGGUUGUCUUCCUCAUUGCUUCAUCCCCAGAACCUAGGAUAGCGCUUACCAUGGAGGCUCAAGAAAGAACUCCUUGACUGUGCCCAGCUGUUUACCUAUUUCUCAGCCUCAGCCCACCCUUCCACACUGCUCUGUGAGGCUGGGCUUUCUGCAGCUAUGCUUCCCAGACUCCCUGGAGAGCUGGCUUCCUUAAGUUCAUCCCACAGGAGGUAUGGGCAGAAGGAAGGUUGGAAGAGGGGAGAAGGGACUCACCUUGCCUUGGGCGCCUGCUGGAACCCCUCCAGCAGCAGUUCGGGCUCCAAUACCUUUCUACACUCUCAGAACAAGGCACUGUGCCCCUCUUGGGGUUUAAGCAGCAGCUGUGUGGUAGCCAGUCCCUGCACCAGCCACACACGUGGCGAGGCCUGCCCUCCAAGCUCCCACUGGGUUCUGGUCAUUGCGCUUCUCUUUCUGCAUCCCAGUCCUAGAGGUGGGAGCUUCUUGCAGACACUCAUUUCUCAGUCACCUCACUUUUCCAUGUUUGUGCUCUCAGCGUUUUAGUACCUGUGUAACCAACUCCCGGUACUGAAUCCUCUGUAAUUCCUAGCUUGGUCUCCAUAUCCUGCCUGGGCCCUGAAGAACUGAAUGACCCCAUUGGCAGUAGCCUAGGUCUCUUGAUUCCCAGUCUCUCGUGAUCCUUAGGAACUUUUGAUGAUGAAUGGAUAAUUCGCUACUUCUAUGCUUAGAAAGCCCUGUCUUAGGGCAGAAGAGGGCUUAGGCAUGUUGCUCCAGGAAAUAAGAUCCAUCCAUGUUGUUUUAAUGAGCUGUGAAUUUCUGCUUUGAUGAUUCUGAGAUUCAUUGAUGCUAAGCUAUAGUGGUUAUGAAAGUCUCAAAGAGUGCAUAAAUAUAAGAUUCUGAGCUUCUAGGAUGAAAAGUAUGGGUUUUGAAAGAUGCUUUGGUCAAGGUCCUGUAACAGGCGUCAGAACGUAAAUGCUCUUUGGGGCCAAGCAGGUACCAUAAAUCAGUGAGGCAAGCAGGGUGUAAGGGGUCCAGAUGCCAGACAGUGGGGACUGGGCAUGUGGGAGGGAAUGCCCCAUUAAUAGGAGGUGACCCCUACUCAGCUCCAGCAGACUAUUGCCCCAUGGGAUUGUGGGUUCAGCAAUCAGUCUCACAAGGAAGCCAGAAACUUCCAUUUUUGUGUCAAACCUGCCCAUUUUUAAAUGUUGGUAACCAACGUGAUUAAAAAAACCUCAAUAACUCUGGAGACCAAAUACACUCCUGCAAGUCAGAUGGUGGCUGUGGACAGCCAUUUCUGGUGUGUGGCUUAGUGGCUAAGAAUGGGUGCCUUACCUCCAGUUGUCUGGAUUCAAACCUGGCCUCUGCUUCUUCCCAGCUGUGUGACCUCUAGAAGAUUACUCAACCUCUCUGUGCCCUGGUUGUAGCAGUUGUAAAAUGGUCAUGAUAGUAGCCCCUACGCCUCUAAGAAUUAUGAUGAUGAUGACAGACUCGGAGAGAAAGUCAGAGUCGGUAUUAAUGGCCUGUGUGACCCGGUCCUCUUCCCCUCUGCUUUUCUCUGCCCCUCUCAGCUCUUGUGUUCCCACCAGUCUUCCCCCUGCCUUCCUCAGCAACAGCCUUGUGGCCCCAAGUGCGCUUCCACCAACAUCCCAAGCAGGUUCCACCUCAGGGCCUUUGCACUUGCUGUUCCCACAGCCACAUGACCUGUUCCUCCUCCUCUAGGUCUCUGCUCUGAUGUCACCUUCUUAGUGAAGCCUUUCCUGACUACCCCAUUUGAAACUGCUUCACACACACACACAAGCCUCCCCAUCCCCCUUCUCUUUUCCUCCACAGCACUUAUAACCUUCUAACAUUUUAAAUGUUUACUUAAAUAUUCAAGUAUCUGUUUUCCCCUUUAAAGUAUAACCUCACCAAGGCAGGAAUUUUUGUUCAUUGUGUUCACCACUCUACUCCCAGCUCCCCAAAUAGUGCCUGCAUCUCCUAGGUGCUCAAUAAAUCAUUGUUGAAUGAAUGAGUAAUAAGUAA